UACGGGGGGAGCAAGCGUUGUUCGGAUUUACUGGGCGUAAAGCGCACGUAGGCGGAUUGCUAAGUCAGGGGUGAAAUCCUGGAGCUCAACUCCAGAACUGCCUUUGAUACUGGCGAUCUUGAGUCCGGGAGAGGUGAGUGGAACUGCGAGUGUAGAGGUGAAAUUCGUAGAUAUUCGCAAGAACACCAGUGGCGAAGGCGGCUCACUGGCCCGGUACUGACGCUGAGGUGCGAAAGCGUGGGGAGCAAACAGG
RNAcentral lists this ribosomal RNA (253 nucleotides) under uncultured bacterium. RNAcentral's name for it is "partial 16S ribosomal RNA". It matches the Rfam family "Bacterial small subunit ribosomal RNA", at positions 524 to 776 of the family's 1533-position model. The record is from RNAcentral.